RNAcentral lists this ribosomal RNA (628 nucleotides) under Procladius sp. FNQ16NIG14. RNAcentral's name for it is "partial large subunit ribosomal RNA". The record is from RNAcentral. Lineage: Eukaryota; Metazoa; Arthropoda; Insecta; Diptera; Chironomidae.
UUCAAUACUUGAAUCGCAAGAUUCAAGUGUGCACUUCUCUUUUAGUAAGACGUUGUGAUCCAUUAGAAAUUGAUUGUCCCCUCUGGUUUGACAAUCAUUGGGCUACCAAUAGUCUGAUAUUGAAGUUCACAAUGACAAACAAUACAGUCAUUUCUAACGAUUGUAUAUAUUGUCUUGUGAGCAUGUCAUGUACUGGUGUAGCCGUMUGAUGGAUUUUAAAGGUCACAACAUUAAUAUCCUUGUGGUAUUACGACAAUUUUAUUAUUGGCGUUUCUUUGUUGUGUACCCGAUCAACAACGGUUUCAUUUGGGAUACCUUUGGGACCCGUCUUGAAACACGGACCAAGGAGUCUAUCUAGUAUGCAAGUAAAUGGGAAUAUUGUAAACCUAUUUGCGUAAAUAACUUGACUGUUUUUUUUAUGGGAUUACAAGUGUUUUUUUCGUUUUCCAAAACGRACACUUUUCCAUCCCGGGGWAUUUUCAUCACAUAUAGUGUACUCGUUAUGCUAUAUAGAAAAUAUACCAUGAGCAUACUGRAUAUGACCCGAAAGAUGGKGAACUAUGCCUGAUCAGGUUGAAGUCAGGGRAAACCCUGAUGGAGGACCGAAGCAAUUCUGACGUGCAAAUCG